This 128-nucleotide small nuclear RNA is filed under the name Echinops telfairi (small Madagascar hedgehog). Its description in RNAcentral is "U1 spliceosomal RNA (ENSETEG00000024610.1)". It matches the Rfam family "U1 spliceosomal RNA". From Rfam's summary of the family: U1 is a small nuclear RNA (snRNA) component of the spliceosome (involved in pre-mRNA splicing). Its 5' end forms complementary base pairs with the 5' splice junction, thus defining the 5' donor site of an intron. Lineage: Eukaryota; Metazoa; Chordata; Mammalia; Afrosoricida; Tenrecidae. The record is from RNAcentral.
GUCCUGACCUGGCAGGGGAGAUACCAUGAUCACGAAGGUGGUUUUCCCAGGGCGAGGCUUAUCCAUUGCACUCCGGAUGUGCUGACCCCUGCGAUUUCCCCAAAUGUGGGAAACUCGACUGCAUAAAA